RNAcentral lists this ribosomal RNA (373 nucleotides) under uncultured organism. RNAcentral's name for it is "bacterial SSU rRNA". It matches the Rfam family "Bacterial small subunit ribosomal RNA", at positions 526 to 896 of the family's 1533-position model. The record is from RNAcentral.
CAGAGGGGGCAAGCGUUGCUCGGAAUCACUGGGCGUAAAGGGCGCGUAGGCGGGAUGGCAAGUCGGUCGUGAAAUCCUUCGGCUCAACCGAAGAACGUCGGCCGAUACUGCCGUUCUUGAGGGAUGCAGAGGAGAUUGGAAUUCCCGGUGUAGCGGUGAAAUGUGUAGAGAUCGGGAGGAACACCGGUGGCGAAGGCGGGUCGCUGGGCAUCUCCUGACGCUGAGGCGCGAAAGCGUGGGGAGCAAACGGGAUUAGAUACCCCGGUAGUCCACGCUGUAAACGAUGACGACUAGGUGUGGGGGGGGUUAGUCCGUUUCCGUGCCGCAGCUAACGCAUUAAGUCGUCCGCCUGGGGAGUACGGCCGCAAGGUUG